Molecule: long non-coding RNA, 1499 nt
Organism: Anas platyrhynchos (mallard)
Lineage: Eukaryota; Metazoa; Chordata; Aves; Anseriformes; Anatidae
Source: RefSeq, a predicted model, not a curated record
UAAUCACCUGCUUGUCCAAGCUGUUCCUAAUGUCCUCACCUCUUCUCCUCUUUCCCCCCACCUGCGAGGAGGGCAUAAACUCACAGAGCUGCAGACCAUGCUUCUGAAGGCAAUAAAACUGCUACUUGGACAUAUGGUCUUUGGUAUCUGAGCUGGGAGUUACAGCAAAAGAGACAAGAAGAAAAAAAAUGAUGCUCAAUGUGCUGCAUACUGCUGCCCAGGCAAUAGGCUGCCUGAAAGGAAAAAAUCUGACGGGGAAAAUGCUUUCUUUCAGGUGCAACACGUGCUCCAGGCACAUAGCUGGAUCCGAGCCUGAACGUGAGGAAUGCUGAUGAAACACCAGGCUACCUCCAAAUCCCAGAGAGAGCAAAACAAAGUGCUUUUCAUAGCAAUGAAGUGCUACAGAUAAAAGAAGAGCAAAUGAUGUACUGUAUGUGCAAAGCUGCUGUUUUUACACACAAUUCACAGGAAAACAGUUUCCUCUGAAGAUUCAUGCUACUGAACAGAGUAUGCACUGUAUUAAGGGGCUAGAAAAAAAAAAACUUUGAGUAAAAUACUGGCACAUCUGAGUACAGCUCAACGGGAGCACUCCUGAAAUGAUAUGUUACUGUUCCUCUCUUGGGUUGAGGCUAUUAAUGACUGUGUACAAUACAAGCCAAGAUUAUAUGCAGUCCAUAAAUACAUUCUCAUGCGUUCAUGGAAAGCUUUGCGGCAAGGCCAGAUUUCAAAACUGGGAAAGAAAAGCAGAGCACAAAGAAAACGACACUUGUAACUUUACUCCAACAACAUUUCUAAAAGCAAAAUAAAGUAAACACUCUGAUAACUAAGUCAAAGUUUAUUACCUGUUCUAGAGCCAAAUGAAUUUGUAAAACUUUCUGAUGGGUAUGGCAAUUCAUCCCAUUUAUCUUGGCAACGUAUCUUAAGAUGGAAUGAAUUACCAUCUGGAAGUACCUGUCUCUUUCCAUCCACUCACUGGAGAGAGAGGUUGAGCAGCUCGUUUAAUUGAGACAUCUAACUUUCGAUGGGUAAUGUUAAGUGAAAUUAAAUCUGCCCACACUCCUUGUUCUCCUUCCUACCAAGGGACCCAGGCAAUUUGUCCUUUUCUAGGGUUUACAGGGUUAUUAUGGCAGCAAAUUUGUUAUGUAAUCGGGGUACCUUUGAACUGUGUUGUGAACUCCUAUGAACCUUUGUUAAUCUUUCAAACACAACUUACUGCUAAAGCUGAGAAGCCUUGACUUCCAGGGCUUAGCCAGAAUUUUUUGGCUGGGUAAAAAGGGAAGAAAUUAUUUUUAUUUGUAAAUGGAGGAAAUAUAAGAUGAAAGCAAAUGGAAGAUAAUACUAAACAUUUAAUCAUCUCAAGAACAUUUUUUUCAAACUUACGCUUGUACUACCUUGAGAAUAAAGUUACAGUUCAGUUCUAGUUAGAGUUGCACACAUAACAGCAGUUCCUGGGCUCUUGACAUCCCUGGCCUAAAAUCUUGCUGGCAUUCAGCAGGUAU